GCCAUGUGUGUGGCCCGUUUUCCGACCGUACCGUAACCAGGUAAUGGGAUCUACCCGCCAGAUGUACAACUGUCUUGGGAAUCCUCAUACAGACUAAAGGUGUUUUGCCCCCGCGGUUGUGAAGAGGAUGCUGUGGAAGUGGCAGCAUGAACGUGUCACACAGACAUUGGCUAAACUGCUCAGCUUCUACACUUGCCCUCAGAGUUCACAUAUGGUUAAGUGCCCAGGUGUCCAGCCAGGUUCAGACUGAUGCUGGUAACAAGAGGAAAACAUGCUGAUUGGAAUGAUUCAACGAUGGACAUUUUGCUUAAUUGUGGAAAAAAAUAAAUGGAAAAACUUC
Molecule: long non-coding RNA, 340 nt
Organism: Engraulis encrasicolus (European anchovy)
Lineage: Eukaryota; Metazoa; Chordata; Actinopteri; Clupeiformes; Engraulidae
Exons: 4
Source: RefSeq, a predicted model, not a curated record